This 586-nucleotide long non-coding RNA is filed under the name Marmota monax (woodchuck). The record is from RNAcentral. Lineage: Eukaryota; Metazoa; Chordata; Mammalia; Rodentia; Sciuridae.
UAGAAGUGUGCCCCAAGCCGGGGUAAGUGGCCUGGAAUCAUACAAAUCUCAGAGCCAUCGGUGCAGUUCUUCUCCGCCCUUCUCUUUGUUGGUGAGAUCAUGUCCCCUCCUUCGACUCCACCUACUCCUCGCGUCGAUGCUCAAGCUCUGCCGCCGCCUCCAGGCCGCUUUUGGGACACCUGGUCUGGGCCACCUCAGAGCAGGGAUUGAGUGACCAGCAGCACCUUGAUCCCGUGUUGGACUGCCUGGGACCAUCUCAGAUGGAGCAGGAUCAAUCACACAGCAUGUCUUCCCCCGCGCACAUACUUUUGCACAGAUACCCUCAACUAGCGUGCUUCUUCCAAACCCUUAUAGGAUCUGCCUCUUGGAGCGCCAGAGUCCUAAACAGGGAAUAUGGACUCUAGACUCUCGUUCAACAAAUGGAGGAAAUUAAGGCUCAGAGAGAGCCAACAUUUCCAAGAGCAAACAAAAAGUCAGCCAGACUCACUCUAUUCCACAUGCUGGUGUCCCUGGAACCUGCUACCCCAACUAUUCUCCUUGGGGACCAAAGAGGGUGGAGACUGGGAACAUGGAGUCUGAAUUACUU